This 253-nucleotide ribosomal RNA is filed under the name uncultured bacterium. RNAcentral describes it as "partial 16S ribosomal RNA". It matches the Rfam family "Bacterial small subunit ribosomal RNA", at positions 524 to 776 of the family's 1533-position model. The record is from RNAcentral.
UACGAAGGGGGCUAGCGUUGUUCGGAUUUACUGGGCGUAAAGCGCACGUAGGCGGAUCGUUAAGUCGGGGGUGAAAUCCUGGAGCUCAACUCCAGAACUGCCUUCGAUACUGGCGAUCUAGAGUCCGGAAGAGGUGAGUGGAACUCCUAGUGUAGAGGUGGAAUUCGUAGAUAUUAGGAAGAACACCAGUGGCGAAGGCGGCUCACUGGUCCGGUACUGACGCUGAGGUGCGAAAGCGUGGGUAGCAAACAGG